CAUCCACUCACCGUAGCCCCGGCCAAAAUGUCCACAGCGACUCCCUCCCCCACCUUCUUCUUCCUCCUCCCAUCCCCGACAGGGUGCUUCCUACUGCAGCCGUCACCGAUCUGCUCAUCCGCAGCAUGACUCCGCAUCCUGGCCGCCUCGUCCUACCCCCAGUGGCUCCUUCUCUCUUAUUCCCGCCGCCUGCUGUCCAUCAUGCCUCCUUCCGCAGACACGGUGAUAGCCUACUCUGCUGCACAGCGCCGCCUCCAGGUGCCUCGCUCGUCCGUCCUCUCCGCCUCCCUCCGCCGGCGAAAGUUUGGGCUCGCUCCGCCGCUGCUGUUCCGGGUUGUGCAACAAUGAGAUAUGAUGAGAGUAUCACAUUUUCUGGUUAUAUCUCGAGGUCGUGGGUACUAAGAAUUAGCAGCUAUUAAAUGACAUGGAGAGAUUUCAGCAACUUAAGUUAUUUGCUCCUGACACCAAGAAUGUCCGUUAGGACUAUUAGUUUGGUGACAAAGGUCACUUGUGAGACAGGGAUGUGAAAUAUCCAUCUGUUUAUUUUAUCUAAGAUAACUUUGUGAGGUGUUUGCGAUGAAUGUAACAAAGAUGUUGAUGUGUGACUUGUUAACUUGUGUAUUUGGUCAUGAAUGGAAUAUUUGUUGGGCACACAUGUUAUUU
Long non-coding RNA from Sorghum bicolor (sorghum), 663 nucleotides. RefSeq lists it as uncharacterized. Lineage: Eukaryota; Viridiplantae; Streptophyta; Magnoliopsida; Poales; Poaceae. The transcript has 3 exons. The record is from RefSeq and is a predicted model, not a curated record.